This 2423-nucleotide ribosomal RNA is filed under the name Proteus mirabilis. It matches the Rfam family "Bacterial large subunit ribosomal RNA", at positions 520 to 2925 of the family's 2925-position model. The record is from RNAcentral. Lineage: Bacteria; Pseudomonadati; Pseudomonadota; Gammaproteobacteria; Enterobacterales; Morganellaceae. RNAcentral also lists the same sequence under 1 other name.
AGUACACGAGCAACGGAAGUUAAAAAAUCGGGCAAGAUUGAACGCAAAGGCAAGCGGGACAUUUGAGGAUGGGGUGACUGCGUACCUUUUGUAUAAUGGGUCAGCGACUUAUAUUCUGUAGCAAGGUUAACCGCAUAGGGGAGCCGUAGGGAAACCGAGUCUUAACUGGGCGAAUGAGUUGCAGGGUAUAGACCCGAAACCCGGUGAUCUAUCCAUGGGCAGGUUGAAGGUUGGGUAACACUAACUGGAGGACCGAACCGACUAAUGUUGAAAAAUUAGCGGAUGACUUGUGGAUGGGGGUGAAAGGCCAAUCAAACCGGGAGAUAGCUGGUUCUCCCCGAAAGCUAUUUAGGUAGCGCCUCGUGAACUCAUCUUCGGGGGUAGAGCACUGUUUCGACUAGGGGGUCAUCCCGACUUACCAACUCGAUGCAAACUGCGAAUACCGAAGAAUGUUAUCACGGGAGACACACGGCGGGUGCUAACGUCCGUCGUGAAGAGGGAAACAACCCAGACCGCCAGCUAAGGUCCCAAAGUCAUGGUUAAGUGGGAAACGAAGUGGGAAGGCUCAGACAGCCAGGAUGUUGGCUUAGAAGCAGCCAUCAUUUAAAGAAAGCGUAAUAGCUCACUGGUCGAGUCGGCCCGCGCGGAAGAUGUAACGGGGCUAAACCAUGCACCGAAGCUGCGGCAGCGACACAAAGUGUUGUUGGGUAGGGGAGCGUUCUGUAAGCCUGCGAAGGUGUACUGUGAGGUAUGCUGGAGGUAUCAGAAGUGCGAAUGCUGACAUAAGUAACGAUAAUGCGGGUGAAAAACCCGCACGCCGGAAGACCAAGGGUUCCUGUCCAACGUUAAUCGGGGCAGGGUGAGUCGACCCCUAAGGCGAGGCUGAAAAGCGUAGUCGAUGGGAAACGGGUUAAUAUUCCCGUACUGGUGGUAACUGCGAUGGGGGAACGGAGAAGGCUAGGUUGUCCGGGCGACGGUCGUCCCGGUUCAAGCAGGUAGGCAGAGUGAUUAGGCAAAUCCGGUCACUUAAUGCUGAGAUGUGAUGACGAACCACCAAGGUGGUGAAGCAAUUGAUGCCCCGCUUCCAGGAAAAGCCUCUAAGCUUCAGGUUACCAACAAUCGUACCCCAAACCGACACAGGUGGUCAGGUAGAGAAUACUCAGGCGCUUGAGAGAACUCGGGUGAAGGAACUAGGCAAAAUGGUGCCGUAACUUCGGGAGAAGGCACGCUGGCGGUAGGUAAAGUCCCUUGCGGACGGCGCUGAAGCCAGUCGAAGAUACCAGCUGGCUGCAACUGUUUAUUAAAAACACAGCACUGUGCAAACACGAAAGUGGACGUAUACGGUGUGACGCCUGCCCGGUGCUGGAAGGUUAAUUGAUGGGGUUAGCGUAAGCGAAGCUCCUGAUCGAAGCCCCAGUAAACGGCGGCCGUAACUAUAACGGUCCUAAGGUAGCGAAAUUCCUUGUCGGGUAAGUUCCGACCUGCACGAAUGGCGUAAUGAUGGCCAGGCUGUCUCCACCCGAGACUCAGUGAAAUUGAACUCGCUGUGAAGAUGCAGUGUACCCGCGGCAAGACGGAAAGACCCCGUGAACCUUUACUAUAGCUUGACACUGAACAUUGAGCCUUGAUGUGUAGGAUAGGUGGGAGGCUUUGAAGUGUGGACGCCAGUCUGCAUGGAGCCAACCUUGAAAUACCACCCUUUAACGUUUGAUGUUCUAACCUAGGCCCAUAAACUGGGUCGGGGACCGUGUCUGGUGGGUAGUUUGACUGGGGCGGUCUCCUCCUAAAGAGUAACGGAGGAGCACGAAGGUUGGCUAAGCAUGGUCGGACAUCAUGCGGUUAGUGCAAAGGCAUAAGCCAGCUUGACUGCGAGAGUGACGGCUCGAGCAGGUACGAAAGUAGGUCUUAGUGAUCCGGUGGUUCUGAAUGGAAGGGCCAUCGCUCAACGGAUAAAAGGUACUCCGGGGAUAACAGGCUGAUACCGCCCAAGAGUUCAUAUCGACGGCGGUGUUUGGCACCUCGAUGUCGGCUCAUCACAUCCUGGGGCUGAAGUAGGUCCCAAGGGUAUGGCUGUUCGCCAUUUAAAGUGGUACGCGAGCUGGGUUUAGAACGUCGUGAGACAGUUCGGUCCCUAUCUGCCGUGGGCGUUGGAAGAUUGAGAGGGGUUGCUCCUAGUACGAGAGGACCGGAGUGAACGCACCACUGGUGUUCGGGUUGUCAUGCCAAUGGCAUUGCCCGGUAGCUAAGUGCGGAAGAGAUAACCGCUGAAAGCAUCUAAGCGGGAAACUUGCCUCGAGAUGAGUCUUCCCUGUCGCUUUAAGUGACCUAAAGGAACGUUUAAGACUAAGACGUUGAUAGGCUGGGUGUGUAAGCGUAGCGAUACGUUGAGCUAACCAGUACUAAUGAACCGUGAGGCUUAACCU